This 2823-nucleotide ribosomal RNA is filed under the name Flexithrix dorotheae DSM 6795. RNAcentral describes it as "bacterial LSU rRNA". It matches the Rfam family "Bacterial large subunit ribosomal RNA". Lineage: Bacteria; Pseudomonadati; Bacteroidota; Cytophagia; Cytophagales; Flammeovirgaceae. The record is from RNAcentral.
GAAAGUAGGUAAGGGCGUAUAGUGGAUGCCUAGGCUUUUAGAGACGAAGAAGGACGUGAUAAGCUGCGAAAAGCUCCGGGGAGCUGCAAAUAAGUAUUGAUCCGGAGAUAUCCGAAUGGGACAACCCAAUAUCGUGAAGCGAUAUUAUCCCGCAGGGGAAGAGAACUUGGGGAACUGAAACAUCUAAGUACCCAAAGGAAUAGAAAACAAUAGUGAUUCCGUUAGUAGUGGCGAGCGAACACGGAAAAGCCCAAACCAUUAGUGUUACGGCACUGAUGGGGUUGUAGGACCAUAUAAAACAUUAGAUUCAGAACUAGAAUAGGUUGGGAAGCCUAUCCAAAGAGUGUGAAAGACACGUAUAGGUAAAGGAUUUGAUGUUGAUGGUAUCCUGAGUAGGGGGGGGCAGGUGAAACCCCCUUUGAAUCUACCGGCACCAUCCGGUAAGGCUAAAUAUUACUAAAAGACCGAUAGUGAACAAGUACCGUGAGGGAAAGGUGAAAAGCACUUCGAAUAGAAGGGUGAAAUAGUACCUGAAACUGUACGCCUACAAGCGGUAGGAGUCUUGUAAUGAGAUGACUGCGUGCCUUUUGCAUAAUGAGCCUACGAGUUACUCUUCCCUGGCAAGGUUAAGGUUUUAAGGACUGAAGCCGUAGCGAAAGCGAGUCUGAAUAGGGCGCUUAAGUCAGAGGAGGUAGACGCGAAACCUGGUGAUCUACCCAUGUCCAGGCUGAAGUUGCGGUAACACGCAAUGGAGGGCCGAACCAGUUGACGUUGAAAAGUCUUUGGAUGAGAUGUGGGUAGGGGUGAAAGGCCAAUCAAACCAGGAAAUAGCUCGUACUCCCCGAAAUGUUUUUAGGAACAGCCUCGGGACAAGUUUAACGGAGGUAGAGCUACCGAUUGGACUAGGGGGUGUCACAACCUACCGAAUCCAGACGAACUCCGAAUGCCGUUAAAUAAGCCCGGGAGUGAGGGUAAGGGUGCUAAGGUCCUUAUCCGAGAGGGAAACAACCCAGACCAUCAGCUAAGGUCCCUAAGUCUAUACUAAGUUGAUCUAAGGUGGUCCAGUCACAGAGACAGCCAGGAUGUUGGCUUGGAAGCAGCCAUGCAUUUAAAGAGUGCGUAACAGCUCACUGGUCGAGUGACAGGGCAUCGAUAAUAAUCGGGCAUUAAGUAUAGCACCGAAGCUAUGGUUGCGUUUAGGCGCAAGGUAGGGGAGCAUUCUAACAGCAAUGAAGCUAUUCUGUAAAGUUUAGUGGAGCAUUUAGAAAAGCAAAUGUAGGCAUAAGUAACGAUAAGGCGGGUGAGAAACCCGCCCACCGAUAGACUAAGGUUUCCUGAACAACGCUAAUCGGUUCAGGGUUAGUCGGGACCUAAGGAGAACCCAAACGGGGUAUUCGAUGGAUAACAGGUUAAUAUUCCUGUACUUGCCAUAUACUAAAAAGUGACGGAGUAAAUAUAGAUGUGCGUACUGACGAAAUAGUACGUUAAAGUCUUUAGACGAUAGUACUGCAAAGCUUCGGUGGCGCAGAUAAUCAUCUUAACCACUUCCAAGAAAAGCGAAGUAUGGCAACUCGUACCGUAAACCGACACAGGUAGUCAAGGAGAGAAUCCUAAGGUGCUCGAGUGAUUCAUGGCUAAGGAACUAGGCAAAAUCGUCCUGUAACUUCGGGAGAAAGGACGCCUCCCUCGAAAGAGGAGGCCGCAGUGAAAAGGCCCAGGCGACUGUUUAACAAAAACACAUGGCUUUGCGAAAUCGAAAGAUGAAGUAUAAGGCCUGACACCUGCCCGGUGCCGGAAGGUUAAGGGGGGAUGUUAGCCGUAAGGCGAAGCAUUGAACUGAAGCCCCGGUAAACGGCGGCCGUAACUAUAACGGUCCUAAGGUAGCGAAAUUCCUUGUCGGGUAAGUUCCGACCUGCACGAAUGGUGUAACGAUCUGGGCACUGUCUCGGCCAUGAGCUCGGUGAAAUUGUAGUAACGGUGAAGAUGCCGUUUACCCGCAACGGGACGGAAAGACCCCAUGAACCUUUACUAUAGCUUAACAUUGGUAUUGGACAAGUAAUGUGUAGGAUAGGCGGGAGGCUGUGAAAUGGUGUCGCUAGGCAUUGUGGAGCCAUUGUUGAAAUACCGCCCUUUGCUUGUUUGAUGCCUAAUCCGCAAGGAGACAUUGUUUGGUGGGUAGUUUGACUGGGGUGGUCGCCUCCAAAAAAGUAACGGAGGCUUUCAAAGGUACCCUCAGUACGGUCGGUAAUCGUACGUAGAGCGCAAUAGCAAAAGGGUGCUUGACUGUGAGGCCAACAAGCCGAUCAGGUAGGAAACUAGGAUAUAGUGAUCCGGUGGUACCGCAUGGAAGGGCCAUCGCUCAAAGGAUAAAAGGUACUCUGGGGAUAACAGGCUGAUCUCCCCCAAGAGCUCAUAUCGACGGGGAGGUUUGGCACCUCGAUGUCGGCUCGUCACAUCCUGGGGCUGGAGAAGGUCCCAAGGGUUGGGCUGUUCGCCCAUUAAAGUGGCACGCGAGCUGGGUUCAGAACGUCGUGAGACAGUUCGGUCCCUAUCUGUUGUGGGCGUAAGAAGCUUGAAAGGAUCUGACCUUAGUACGAGAGGACCGGGUUGGACGAACCUCUGGUGUACCUGUUGUGGCGUCAGCUGCACCGCAGGGUAGCUAUGUUCGGAAGGGAUAAGCACUGAAAGCAUCUAAGUGCGAAACCCACCUUAAGAUGAGGCUUCUAUAUAAGGGUCGUUAGAGAUGAUAACGUUGAUAGGCUGCAAGUGUAAAGUCAGAGAUGGCAAAGCUGAGCAGUACUAAUUGCCCAAUUACUUUCUUAA